AGUGAACGCUGGCGGUAGGCCUAACACAUGCAAGUCGAACGGCAGCACAGUAAGAGCUUGCUCUUACGGGUGGCGAGUGGCGGACGGGUGAGGAAUACAUCGGAAUCUACUUUUUCGUGGGGGAUAACGUAGGGAAACUUACGCUAAUACCGCAUACGACCUACGGGUGAAAGCAGGGGAUCUUCGGACCUUGCGCGAUUGAAUGAGCCGAUGUCGGAUUAGCUAGUUGGCGGGGUAAAGGCCCACCAAGGCGACGAUCCGUAGCUGGUCUGAGAGGAUGAGCAGCCACACUGGAACUGAGACACGGUCCAGACUCCUACGGGAGGCAGCAGUGGGGAAUAUUGGACAAUGGGCGCAAGCCUGAUCCAGCCAGACCGCGUGGGUGAAGAAGGCCUUCGGGUUGUAAAGCCCUUUUGUUGGGAAAGAAAAGCAGCAGGUUAAUACCCCGCUGUUCUGACGGUACCCAAAGAAUAAGCACCGGCUAACUUCGUG
This 492-nucleotide ribosomal RNA is filed under the name uncultured bacterium. RNAcentral's name for it is "partial 16S ribosomal RNA". It matches the Rfam family "Bacterial small subunit ribosomal RNA", at positions 29 to 507 of the family's 1533-position model. The record is from RNAcentral.